CAAAAUUUGCUGUGCUCGCUCUAUUCCCUCCCAAGUGCGAUUCCCUUUUCCCUAUCCCUCGUCACUGGUGACUCCCUUUUUCUUCUUCAUCGGCGAUGAUUCCCUCUCUCACUUCCUUUCCCUCUUCCUCUCCAUUGCCCACAUAUACACACACAACGAGGAGAAAAUGGAGGAUUUGGGCGUGAGGAGGUGAAUGGAGGAGGCUUGAUUUGGGCGUGAGGAGGCGAACGAAGGAGGCUUGAUUUGGUUGUUUGGUAAGUUACUCUCACAACCACUGCUAUACUCACACACAUACACCCACCCACUACUAUACUCACACACAUACACAUUAUCACACACAAUAUACACACACCCAUUGUCAAUUAAUUGUAUGUCUGUGUUCGCAUGUACAUAUGGUGAUUCUUUUAGGUCCAAAUUCUUGAACAUAACUCAGUUUGUCCUGUAUUGCUUUGAACAUAACUCAGUUUCUGGUUUAGUUAACUUAUUAGAAUUGGACCUGGAAUGAUGUCCAGGGAUUCACGACUGGCUUGUUCAGCUCAAAGGUUUGCUAUUAGCUUGUACUCUUUCUGAGUGGUGAGCUUCUUCUUCAAUGCGUAUGUAAAAGUCAUUAAUGUAUUAGUAAAAUUUUUAAGCUUUCCCAAAUUUAUGGGGUCUUAAUUUAACUAUUGGUCUUGGUUUCUUAGAUAUUUUGAUUGGUAAUUUUGGCCCAAAGUAUGCGUACUGGAACUAGCAACCUUAGAUUUACCAUAUUAGCGUACUGGAGCAACUCCAAAUUUUUGUACAUGUUAAUCAUUUAAGUUUCAUGCCUAAGGAGUUCUGGUAAGAGAGGUGUUGCUGCACCAAUUAUUUUUAUAUCAAGGAUAUUUCCUUUGUGAGGUACAAAGCUUUUGAUAAUUAAAUCAAUUGAUGGAAGUUAUUACUUCUGAUCUUUUUUGCAUUUGCAG
Molecule: long non-coding RNA, 944 nt
Filed under: Panax ginseng (ginseng)
Lineage: Eukaryota; Viridiplantae; Streptophyta; Magnoliopsida; Apiales; Araliaceae
Description: long non-coding RNA (PGIN_LNC018583)
Source: RNAcentral